ACGUAGGUGGCAAGCGUUGUCCGGAUUUAUUGGGUUUAAAGGGUGCGUAGGCGGCCUUAUAAGUCAGUGCUGAAAUAUCCCGGCUUAACCGGGAGGGUGGCAUUGAUACUGUAGGGCUUGAGUACAGAUGAAGUAGGCGGAAUUGACGGUGUAGCGGUGGAAUGCAUAGAUAUCGUCAAGAACACCGAUAGCGAAGGCAGCUUACUAAGCUGUAACUGACGCUGAGGUGCGAAAGCGUGGGGAGCAAACAGGA
Molecule: ribosomal RNA, 253 nt
Filed under: uncultured prokaryote
Description: partial 16S ribosomal RNA
Rfam family: Bacterial small subunit ribosomal RNA
Source: RNAcentral